This 379-nucleotide ribosomal RNA is filed under the name uncultured eukaryote. Its description in RNAcentral is "partial 18S ribosomal RNA". It matches the Rfam family "Eukaryotic small subunit ribosomal RNA", at positions 592 to 975 of the family's 1831-position model. The record is from RNAcentral.
CAAUAGCGUAUAUUAAAGUUGUUGCGGUUAAAAAGCUCGUAGUUGGAUUUCUGCUGAGAACGACCGGUCCGCCCUUUGGGUGUGUAUCUGGCUCUUUCUUGGCAUCUUCUUGGUGAACGUUGCUGCACUUGACUGUGUGGAGCGCUACCCAGGACUUUUACUUUGAGGAAAUUAGAGUGUUUCAAGCAGGCAUACGCCUUGAAUACAUUAGCAUGGAAUAAUAAGAUAGGACCUCGGUUCUAUUUUGUUGGUUUCUAGAGCUGAGGUAAUGAUUAAUAGGGAUAGUUGGGGGCAUUCGUAUUUAACUGUCAGAGGUGAAAUUCUUGGAUUUGUUAAAGUCGGACUACUGCGAAAGCAUUUGCCAAGGAUGUUUNCAUUG